This is a long non-coding RNA of Tigriopus californicus, 825 nucleotides long. RefSeq lists it as uncharacterized. The transcript has 2 exons. The record is from RefSeq and is a predicted model, not a curated record. NCBI's taxonomy places the organism in Eukaryota, Metazoa, Arthropoda, Copepoda, Harpacticoida, Harpacticidae.
CGAGAUACACUCCAUCAACCGUCCAAGAAACUCCAAGUGCCCCACAAAUCACACUCAAUGUAGGCAUAAACAAAAGGUACGAUAGGAGACAUGCUAAUUGACGUUGCAUCCAAAUCGGUCAACCACCACCAACAACAACUACAACAACAUCAACUACCUACGGGUGUGAUUAUUUUCCUCUGUCACGCUCAUCCCAGGAUGUGUGUGUGUGUGUAUGCGUGUGUCGUUGAAAUAUGAGCCGAUUAAGAGCUGUGAUUAAAACGCCAAACUGUCGAUCGACCGCGCGUUCUUUGGCUCAUAAAAAAGAAGCGGGUUUCAUAUCUUGCCGUUGAUCGCUAAUAUGGCAUAUAUAUCGAGUUCUUCGACACACUAUGACUGCCACCUCCGGGCACACUUGUUCCCUUCUCACGUUUGAGUCUGAAGCUUUGGCAUCCACGAGAAAAGGAAGGAACCCUUCAUGAUGCCAGAUUUGGUGAGGACUUGCUUCCACCUUCCAGGCAUAAAUAUUCAGAGGCAAGUAAUCCGAAAAUAGAAGAGCCAGAACUAUGCCAAAUCAGACGGUUUUAUGCAAAAAAAAAAUACGCAAGAGCCAAAGACAACGAACAUGGCUCCUGGCAUGUUGAAAAUUCCGACUUCCAUUUCAAAGCAUGAACCUGGACUGGCUACUAGUUUGACUUGUCUGCACUUUUAUGCUCUGAGACCAAAAAAGCAUCCAGAGGACUCACAAACGCCCGGGGAGACUGCCAAUACACAUAAGACGUACAAUGUUUUUUAUGACAGGAUGACUUGUGCAAUACAACACCUCAAUAUUUUGUUUCAAAAUGA